This 332-nucleotide ribosomal RNA is filed under the name uncultured Neomoorella sp. RNAcentral's name for it is "bacterial SSU rRNA". It matches the Rfam family "Bacterial small subunit ribosomal RNA", at positions 568 to 898 of the family's 1533-position model. The record is from RNAcentral. Lineage: Bacteria; Bacillati; Bacillota; Clostridia; Neomoorellales; Neomoorellaceae.
UGCGUAGGCGGGUUGGCAAGUCGGGUGUGAAAUUCCAUGGCUUAACCAUGGAUCUGCAUUCGAAACUGCCGGUCUUGAGUACUGGAGAGGUGAGUGGAAUUCUCGGUGUAGCGGUGAAAUGCGUAGAUAUCGAGAGGAACACCGUUGGCGAAGGCGGCUCACUGGACAGAUACUGACGCUGAGGCACGAAGGCCGGGGGAGCAAACAGGAUUAGAUACCCUGGUAGUCCCGGCGGUAAACGAUGGGCACUAGGUGUCGGAGGUAUCGACCCCUCCGGUGCCGCAGUUAACACAUUAAGUGCCCCGCCUGGGGAGUACGGCCGCAAGGUUGAA